UAUAAGGAUUUAAGUU
Molecule: transfer RNA, 16 nt
Filed under: Nipponosialis kumejimae
Lineage: Eukaryota; Metazoa; Arthropoda; Insecta; Megaloptera; Sialidae
Description: partial tRNA-Trp
Source: RNAcentral